Molecule: ribosomal RNA, 805 nt
Filed under: uncultured archaeon
Lineage: Archaea
Description: bacterial SSU rRNA
Rfam family: Archaeal small subunit ribosomal RNA
Source: RNAcentral
GCUCAGUAACACGUGGCUAACCCACCCUUGAGACGGAGACAACCCCGGGAAACUGGGGCUAAUCCCCGAUAGGAGAAGACACCUGGAAGGGGUCUUUUCCCAAAAGGCGCUUAGAUCAUGCUUCUAGACGCCGCUCAAGGACGGAGCCGCGGCCGAUCAGGUUGUUGGUGAGGCAAUGGCUCACCAAGCCUAUAACCGGUACGGGCCGUGAGAGCGGGAGCCCGGAGAUGGGCACUGAGACAAGGGCCCAGGCCCUACGGGGCGCAGCAGGUGCGAAAACUCCGCAAUGCGCGCAAGCGCGACGGGGUCACCCCGAGUGCCGUCCUUUUAGGUGGCUUUUACCCAGUGUAAAGAGCUGGGUGAAUAAAGGGGGGGCAAGACGGGUGUCAGCCGCCGCGGUAAUACCCGCUCCCUGAGUGGUAGGGCUUUUAUUGGGCUUAAAGCGUCCGUAGCCGGCCUAGCAAGUCUUCCGUUAAAUCCACCGAUUCAAUCGUUGGACUGCGGGAGAUACUGUUGGGCUAGGGGGGGGGAGAGGCCGACGGUAUUCUCGGGGUAGGGGUAAAAUCCUAUAAUCUCGGGUAGACCACCAGUGGCGAAGGCGGUCGGCCAGAACGCGCUCGACGGUGAGGGACGAAAGCUGGGGGAGCGAACCGGAUUAGAUACCCGGGUAGUCCCAGCUGUAAACGAUGCUGACUUGGUGUGAGGGUAGCUACGGGCUACCCUCGUGCCGAAGGGAAACCAUUAAGUCUGCCGCCUGGGGAGUACGGCCGCAAGGCUGAAACUUAAAGGAAUUGGCGGGGGAGCA